RNAcentral lists this transfer RNA (107 nucleotides) under Helianthus annuus (common sunflower). RNAcentral describes it as "hypothetical non coding rna". The stretch from base 33 to 106 matches the Rfam family "tRNA". Rfam says of the family: Transfer RNA (tRNA) molecules are approximately 80 nucleotides in length. Their secondary structure includes four short double-helical elements and three loops (D, anti-codon, and T loops). The record is from RNAcentral. Lineage: Eukaryota; Viridiplantae; Streptophyta; Magnoliopsida; Asterales; Asteraceae.
CUUCCGGGAACAGAUCCAGUGGAGACGUAGUGGGGCCUGUAGCUCAGAGGAUUAGAGCACGUGGCUACGAACCACGGUGUCGGGGGUUCGAAUCCCUCCUCGCCCAC